UACGAAGGGUGCAAGCGUUACUCGGAAUUACUGGGCGUAAAGCGUGCGUAGGUGGUUUGUUAAGUCUGUUGUGAAAGCCCCGGGCUCAACCUGGGAAUGGCAUUGGAAACUGGCUUGCUGGAGUGUGGCAGAGGGGGGGUAGAAUUCCACGUGUAGCAGUGAAAUGCGUAGAGAUGUGGAGGAAUACCGAUGGCGAAGGCAGCCCCCUGGGCCAAUACUGACGCUCAUGCACGAAAGCGUGGGGAGCAAACAGG
Molecule: ribosomal RNA, 254 nt
Filed under: uncultured bacterium
Lineage: Bacteria
Description: partial 16S ribosomal RNA
Rfam family: Bacterial small subunit ribosomal RNA
Source: RNAcentral